CUCCCACGAGCGUGGGAGUUAGGGUUGGGGUGUCCGGCUCGCAGGUUUACCCUGGCACAAUCGCGUAGGUUGAAUGACGUCGUCGAUCGAGGGCGGGCUGUUCCCGCCCGCACACGCAAACGUACGCGUGUUGCGGCCGGCCGGGCGCGCGCAGGGCUCUCCUCACCCAUAAUGUGGCAACAAUGUACUUAGGUGUUUGUGUCUAUAUGUUGUUAACCGCGCGGAAAAUGCGGUUGCGCGGUUUAGUUCGAGUUUCGCUCGCCGGGGACUUUGGCGCCUACGAGACAUUAAUACGACUAUAGCAUCUACACUCGUCGGAAGACAAUGCACACCAUUGUUCAGCUUACAUUAUAUGGAGGCAGAUCUAUCUAUCGGCUCACUGCAUGGCUCGAAAUGUCACCUUGGACCCAUCCGGAACGUCAGCUUUUGAGUGGGAACCUCACCGGGCAGAAUUUCAUCGUAAGUCAAGAAGAAUCAAGAGUAUUGCUCGGUUCUAAUACCAGUUGCAUGCAACCUCAUGACUCGCCGUCACAUCAACCUUGCUGGCCCUCAGACGAAGACUACCCGACCAAGUUGAUGCCUGAGUCCAUGAUAUAUAUGCAGACAAUUACAGCACAUGUAUAUAUCUUAUGGAAGAGGAAAGACUUUCAUAAGUCCACAGUGAGAAGGUGAGCUUCCUCUUCCAUCCAAGCUAUAAGUUUUACCAACCAUUGAAUGUAUGCUUCCCUCCAUCUGCGAUCCAUCAACAAAGACUAACAGCAAAGAGAUGAUCCAGUGAUGCGCUGCUAAUUUCAUCACCAACUCCACUACCACCGACACCAACUACUUAUGGAAACGGUGUCAUCGCCGUGCAAGAACCACCUGGGAAGACCAGCGGCCAAGUGAUUGGAGAAGGGAGUGACUUCAUAAGUCACUAGUGAGGAGAUAAGCUUCCUCUGCCACCCUUAGCUACAGGGUGUCCUUGGGCAAGGCAUAGCACCUGUUUAGCCUCCCGUGCGAGGGUUACGGUGAAGAUGUCUAAUGUAGUGGAGAUGUGCAAGUGACUGAACACAGCAUUGAAGAACAAAGGGAAGAACAAACAUAGCUAAAGGAGUGCCAUGCAAGGAUAAUCCAUGCAUCGAAGAAGAUAAUUGGAUAAGAGGAGGGAUAAUUAGUGCCAGUGUGUUUAGUCAUGAGGCUGGAGCAAGAUGUCUUUUCCUCCAUUCAAACACCAUGCAUGCUUAUCAUUUGGACCAGCAAUACAAAAACAAGGAACCAGGAAGGAACCGGAACAACAAACCGGAACAACGAACCAGGAUCCAGGACAAGGAAACAGAAGGAACUCACUUCUGUUGAGAAGCUGCGUAACACUGCCACACCCACGGAUCAGCACACACCCGCAAUGAGCCACCAAUUCGUGUAAAAGGACAUUUGUGCAGACGUAGACACAUCAUCAAGCUGACGGAAGGCGUGAGUGCAUGAAAUCUUUGAAGCCAAGACUGUUGUUGCAACGAUGCACUACGUUAUCGUGAAACUGGCUUGUAAUGUAUCUGUGUGUUGUUAAUUGAAUCGAGAGUAGUUUUUUAUCGAGUUUGUAUUUAGACGUCAGCAGUUCAAUGUUCGACGUAUUCGACUAGCAUUUUUAAUGACAAGGAUAAGAAAUUUGUUGCUCAUAGCGGUGAUCGUGGCAGUUAGUACCGUUUUCAUUUAAUCGUUGAUCCAAAUAUACCUUAACUUACUACCAUUUAACCUAAUUUAUUAACGUUAAAGCCAAUUCACUCGCUUCAAAUUCAACUCUAUUUCGUCAUAAGUACGUAAUUUGCAGCAAAAAUAACGUCACGUAAAUUGUACAGUUUCAAAGUUGUAAUUUGCAGCAAAUUGAUUCGUUUCAUGUUCAUUUUAUUGUGUACUGUAUUUGCAAAUGUAUGUUGCGAGAAAAAUAAAUUUUGUAGGUUGUUGUAGGUUUUUCAGAGGGACGAUUGAAGAGUGACUGCGAGAGUGACAGCGAGAAUGACCGUGUGAGUAAAAGAGGGGUA
Molecule: long non-coding RNA, 2015 nt
Filed under: Priapulus caudatus
Lineage: Eukaryota; Metazoa; Priapulida; Priapulimorpha; Priapulimorphida; Priapulidae
Description: uncharacterized LOC106811670
Source: RNAcentral